ANGCGGCGACGGGUGAGUAACGCGUGGAUGACCUGCCCUUUAGUGGGGAACAACCAGGGGAAACUCUGGCUAAUACCGCAUAAGACCGAAAGGUGAAAGGGGGCCGCAAGGCUCUCGCUGAAGGAGGGGUCCGCGUCCGAUUAGCUAGUUGGUAGGGUAAUGGCCUACCAAGGUGACGAUCGGUAGCCGGCCUGAGAGGGUGAUCGGCCACACUGGAACUGAGACACGGUCCAGACUCCUACGGGAGGCAGCAGUGGGGAAUUUUGCGCAAUGGGCAAACGCCUGACGCANCAACGCCGCGUGGAGGAUGAAGGUCUUUGGAUUGUAAACUCCUGUCAGCGGGGAAAAAGGGACCUGGGCUAAUACCCUAGGGACUUGAUUGUACCCGCAGAAGAAGCCCCCGGCUAACUCUGUGCCAGCAGCCGCGGUAAUACAGAGGGGGCAAGCGUUAUUCGGAAUUAUUGGGCGUAAAAGGGCGCGUAGGCGGCUUUGCAGUGGCGGUGAAAUCCCUCGGCUUUACCGAAGAACUGCCUGCCAAACUGNGAGNCUUGAAACCGGGAAAGGGAGUGGAAUUCCAG
RNAcentral lists this ribosomal RNA (578 nucleotides) under uncultured Pelobacter sp. Its description in RNAcentral is "bacterial SSU rRNA". It matches the Rfam family "Bacterial small subunit ribosomal RNA", at positions 93 to 672 of the family's 1533-position model. Lineage: Bacteria; Pseudomonadati; Thermodesulfobacteriota; Desulfuromonadia; Desulfuromonadales; Desulfuromonadaceae. The record is from RNAcentral.